GACGAACGCUGGCGGCGUGCUUAACACAUGCCAGUCGAACGGAAAGGCCCUGCUUUUGUGGGGUGCUCGAGUGGCGAACGGGUGAGUAACACGUGAGUAACCUGCCCUUGACUUUGGGAUAACUUCAGGAAACUGGGGCUAAUACCUGAUAGGAGCUCCUGCUGCAUGGUGGGGGUUGGAAAGUUUCGGCGGUUGGGGAUGGACUCGCGGCUUAUCAGCUUGUUGGUGGGGUAGUGGCUUACCAAGGCUUUGACGGGUAGCCGGCCUGAGAGGGUGACCGGCCACAUUGGGACUGAGGUACGGCCCAGACUCCUACGGGAGGCAGCAGUGGGGAAUAUUGCACAAUGGGCGGAAGCCUGAUGCAGCAACGCCGCGUGCGGGAUGACGGCCUUCGGGUUGUAAACCGCUUUCGCCUGUGACGAAGCGUGAGUGACGGUAAUGGGUAAAGAAGCACCGGCUAACUACGUG
Molecule: ribosomal RNA, 468 nt
Filed under: uncultured bacterium
Lineage: Bacteria
Description: partial 16S ribosomal RNA
Rfam family: Bacterial small subunit ribosomal RNA
Source: RNAcentral